UACAUACAUCUUUAAAGAAAAGAGAACGGUUGGAACCCUGUAUUACAGGUAAAACAGCAGGAUGUAGGGUUCUUCAUAGAACCUUUAAAUAUUCCUCCAGAUACUGCCCCCCCCCCUCCCCCCCAGUAAGUGAGUCCUGUUUCACUAGAGGAAGUCAGUGUAUAUAAAAUGAAUCCAUCAUAUCAGAGCAAAGUACAAUAUAUACUGUAUGAGGCAUGUGCCGAUGUUGUCACGGUAACUGUGCAAGUUUUUAAUCACGCGUUCACAAUACUAUAAUUUAACGUCAUUUCCAAAUUUACAAACUGCCUAACAAGGUUCCCUACACCAAACAAUCCUUGGGUAGUGAUGGUGUAAUAAAGCCUCCUUGAUAACACGCUUAUAUCAAGGAUACUCUGAAGCGUUUAAACAAUCAGAGGCUUCGUAAAUAUUUCUUGAUGAUAUAAAAAAUAAACUUGCGGCUGGUUUCAAACUGUUGCUAUCAAUACAUUUCGUAAGGUUGUUCUUCUUUUUUCUUUUUCUACACACUCUUUGUUUACCGUGGCAAAAAGUGAAGACGUCUUUGAACCAGGAAAAUAGAGACGAAACGAGAGAUGACUAAUCUGAGACGGAGAGAAAGGGGCGGGGCCUCCAAGUGGUCAGUUCAUAUCAGAGAGUUCACACCUAAUACAACUGUCAAUCACUCCAGAUUCACAUGUCGAUUGGUUCAUUUGGCUCUUUUUGUGUAUUUCUGAUUAAUAACUCGUAGCAGCGUACUCCGACUGUAAAAUGGGGAGCUCCUGCGCAAAACGUGUGAAAAAUAUGCACACGUCCCCACCUGCCAAUCAGGAAGGAGUAUUUUCCCAUGGUGUAACAUAAUACAUCGCAUAACAGAUUAUCAGGACAAUUUUCCAGGAUGCAUGUGAAGUGUCAAGUGUCGUAUCUCCGAGAAGUAACCGAUGCUGAUGAAAGUUCUAUAAAAGCGUCAAAUUAAUUGUUAUCAAAAUGCAUGCAUGGAUUUUAAACAUUUAGAUUAGUAAGCUAAGGGCUAAGCCAUGAGGGAGCUGUGUGAGAAAACAUGCUAAUCUGAGAAUAUCAUAAACAGUGAUAUUUGUACUUGUGAUAAUCGUGACAUCGGCACAUGUAUAAAUAUGCAUUUGGGUCUAGUGUGUGUGUGUGUGUGUGUGUGUGUGUGUGUGUGUGUGUGUGUGUGGUAGCUAGGUGUGGUGCUCACCUCUGACAUCACCCCUACAAACCUUCAUGACCUCAUCCAGGGCCAGUCUCCGCCCACUUCUAGGCCCACACUCCUACAGCCCACCCUCUUUUAAGGCCCAUUUCAUCUCCCACUGUCACAUAAUGCAUUUGUUAUAAGACU
Molecule: long non-coding RNA, 1351 nt
Organism: Ictalurus punctatus (channel catfish)
Lineage: Eukaryota; Metazoa; Chordata; Actinopteri; Siluriformes; Ictaluridae
Source: Ensembl